RNAcentral lists this ribosomal RNA (107 nucleotides) under uncultured bacterium. RNAcentral's name for it is "partial 16S ribosomal RNA". It matches the Rfam family "Bacterial small subunit ribosomal RNA", at positions 1360 to 1482 of the family's 1533-position model. The record is from RNAcentral.
CGGUGAAUACGUUCUCGGGUUCUGUACACACCGCCCGUCAAGCUACGAAAGCCGGUAGUGCUUAAAGCCAACUAAGGUUGGUGAGAGUAGGAUUGGUGAUUGGAGUU